RNAcentral lists this ribosomal RNA (130 nucleotides) under uncultured bacterium. Its description in RNAcentral is "partial 16S ribosomal RNA". The record is from RNAcentral.
AACGUCACAGCNGUACGCUAUUAACGGACAACCUUUCUUCCCAAUUGAAAGUGCUUUACAACCCUAAGGCCUUCCUUCACACACGCGGCAUGGCUGCGUCAGGCUUUCGCCCAUUGCGCAAUAUUCCCCA